UUUUUCCACCCACUGAGUAUUAUAAUGUAUUUAUAAUCCACUCAAUUGCUGACUGAUCGACAAAGUUCUUUGAGGAUUUUGCAAUAUUCCAUGGAGGAAUUUUAAACAUUGCGAAAAGUUUCAGAAGGUUCACACGUACGGUGUGAGGUCGUCGGGAGACGAUUUGCCUUGUUCGCCCUCUGGUGAGGAUCUGGGAAACUACCGUAAUGGGAGACCUAUCAGCUGAUUAGGCGCCAGAUCACCAUGUGUAUGAAAUUACAUUUUAGGAAUUGAUAAAUCUAAAGAAGUAAUGGCGGUCAUGAAUCUGCUGAAAGUUGGCAAAUGGAAAAGACAACAUUGAGGUCGCAAACUUGGGAGUAAAAUAUCGAAAAAAUAAAACGUGUAUCAGCCUGCUCGCUGUGAGGAAGUGAUCGAGGAGCUCAGGCAAUGCUGCAUUAAGCAUUCGGAGAAUUCGGUGGUGUGUGACGGAAUUGAUAUAUCGAAACCCUACGAGCACAAUACGGUGGAUUAU
This is a long non-coding RNA of Diachasmimorpha longicaudata, 511 nucleotides long. RefSeq lists it as uncharacterized. The record is from RefSeq and is a predicted model, not a curated record. NCBI's taxonomy places the organism in Eukaryota, Metazoa, Arthropoda, Insecta, Hymenoptera, Braconidae. The transcript has 4 exons.